This 440-nucleotide ribosomal RNA is filed under the name uncultured bacterium. RNAcentral describes it as "partial 16S ribosomal RNA". It matches the Rfam family "Bacterial small subunit ribosomal RNA", at positions 338 to 795 of the family's 1533-position model. The record is from RNAcentral.
CCUACGGGAUGCAGCAGUGGGGAAUAUUGGACAAUGGGCGAAACCCUUAUCCAGCGACGCCGCGUGAGGGAUGAAGGUCUUCGGAUUGUAAACCUCUGUCAGUGGGGACGAAAAUGACGGUACCCACGGAGUUAGCCAUGGCUAACUACGUGUCAGCAGCCGCGGUAAUACGUAGGUGGCAAGCGUUGUCCGGAAUUACUGGGUGUAAAGGGAGCGUAGGCGGGAUGGCAAGUCAGAAGUGAAAAUUAUGGGCUUAACUCACAAUCUGCUGUUGAAACUGAUAAUCUAGAGUGAAGUAGAGGUAAGCGGAAUUCCUAGUGUAGCGGUGAAAUGCGUAGAUAUUAGGAAGAACACCAGUGGCGAAGGCGGCUUGCUGGGCAUUUACUGACGCUGAGGCUCGAAAGCGUGGGGAGCAAACAGGAUUAGAUACCCCUGUAGUC